Molecule: ribosomal RNA, 251 nt
Filed under: uncultured bacterium
Lineage: Bacteria
Description: partial 16S ribosomal RNA
Rfam family: Bacterial small subunit ribosomal RNA
Source: RNAcentral
UACGUAGGGUGCGAGCGUUGUCCGGAAUUACUGGGCGUAAAGCGUGCGCAGGCGGUUGUGCAAGACAGAUGUGAAAUCCCCGGGCUCAACCUGGGAACUGCAUUUGUGACUGCACGGCUGGAGUGCGGCAGAGGGGGAUGGAAUUCCGCGUAGCAGUGAAAUGCGUAGAUAUGCGGAGGAACACCGAUGGCGAAGGCAAUCCCCUGGGCCUGCACUGACGCUCAUGCACGAAAGCGUGGGGAGCAAACAGG